Cyanistes caeruleus (blue tit) is the source of this 2170-nucleotide long non-coding RNA. The record is from Ensembl. Lineage: Eukaryota; Metazoa; Chordata; Aves; Passeriformes; Paridae.
AACACUGAGCAAACAGAAAACACAUCAAGAAGAACAAAUUUGGUUGGAAAGAAGAACAGAAAACCAGUGAGGAAAGAGCAAGGUGCGGUCUGUGGCAUCAAAUGCACAAAAAAUUACCUGAAGCAGUGAGGAGGGAAGGAAGGACCAUCAGCACAAAGCAAUUUUGGCGACAGCCUCAGAACACCGGCAAUGCACCACACUCCCAAAAAUCCUUUGCCUGACACCAGUCACCUCAUAGGGGAAACAAAGCAUCAAAAAACUGUGAGGGUAGAAAAUAGUAAAUGUGGGCAUGAUAAUCCUAGUUGUACAUAAUAUGGAGCAUCAACAUCAUCAUCAUUGUGAUAGUAAUAAGUUAAUAUGCUUCUUAAUCUAACCAAAAUCUUAACAGUAAAAUCUUGACUUCUUUUAAUGCACUUUGCCCCUCCACCCAUAAUCAAGCAAUUGUAGGCAACAAAAGCAUAACAUUUGUAAAACAGUUUGGUCAAAUAUUUUUUUUGAAAUUUCGUCUGGUUAGAUAGACAUCCAAUUUAUGUUGUGUCAUGAAACUUUUUCAAUGAACGUUUUAUGCAAAUAUGCUGCUGUAAAGAGUAUUUUAACUUUAAAUUCUGCAAGUAUAUGUCAAAUAUGUUCUGAUAAUGCUCUGAAAGCACAAACCCGAAGAUUCAAUCAUAGACUUUUAAUUUAAAAAUAUUAAAGUUAAGUAUGCACAUAUUUAAUUAGUUACAGAUUUGGAGGUUUUUUUUCCCCAUGAACAGCUUUGUCUAGAGCACUAAAGAGAGGUGAUUGAAAUGCACAGUCUGGUUUUUUUCUAGACAGAAGAGUGAAUAGUCUCAGGAGGAUAACAUUAGCAUUUAUAUUAUGCACGUACCUGUUAGGCUUCUUAUCUAUUAUUUGCAAACACAGAGAGAGGCAGCAAAUGAAAGGAAAACAGAGGGAGGAAUUCAGUUUUGGGGAAGAGAAGACACACGUCUUGCAAAUUUGUCUCACUUUAGGAGGAAAUCAUGGAUUCACAGAUUUCACAGAAUAUUCUGCAUUGGAAGCAAAAGCAAUUCAAGUUCUAGGAAGAAAGGGUCUUGAACCAAGUUCUUACCUGCUCUAUAACUCUCCGAAGAGGUUUUGGCUGUACUCUGGAGUCAUUGAUGUUGGAGCUGUUCUACUGCACACAAAAAGCAGCCAUCAGGACUAGAGAAGCAAUCCUUCCAGUCUGAUCUAUUCCUGGUAAAACUCCUUGGGAUAACUUUGCCUCUGUGGAUAAUGCAGGAGAGUUUUGAGAGGUGUGAACAUGAGCAUCUUGCAGCAGGACACGAAACAGUUGAAAAGGAACUCGUAAGGACAAGGGAAAACUGGAUUUUGACACUCAGCAGAGGGAAAAGGAACCAAAACUUCACUGUACAGGCUACAUCUGCUUAUUUGUAGUUUAAAGUGUAGCACCUUUUUUAUUUAGUACCCUUUUUUUUUUUGCUCCUUUCCUCUUUUCAUUUCAAAGCAGCGCCUUUGAGAGUGAGUGUAGCAAAGAGAUUGCUAAAGAGAACUGCUCUGAGCACAAGUCUUGGAGUUGAUUAGAAGAAACCUGGAGAGAUUUCUGAGAUGUUAAAACCUACAGAUGAAAACUGGUGUAUUACACACAGGACACAGGAGAAGGCUGAACUAACAAGGCAGAGCAGAAAAGUGAGAAUUUUCUCAGACGUCCUCCCAGCCGCAGAACUUUUCUGUUUUUCUAGAAAAGAUUUUUUACCAUUUCUCUUUUUCUUUAAUUGCAUCCUCCUAUUCAAAAAAAAAGGAAGUUUUUCUAAAACCCACACUCAGGCAUUGAAAGCCCUUACAAGCCCUUGAAAGCGGUUUCAGGUUCAAUAUUUUAAAUGUGGGAGAUUUUGUGGGGUUUUGGCUCUGUUGUUCUGGCUUUAGGUAGGUUUAUUUUUUUGCUUAUUUUCCUGGGGUUUUUGUUGGGCUAAUUUUGUUAAUUGUUUUAUUAAACUAGCUUUGUGGGAUAGAUUAGUGAGCAGUUUUUUUCCCAAAGCCCUGAUCAUGUCAUCAGGUCAAGUACUGGGGUUUUCGUGAUCAGAGCCACUGCCGAAGGUGCUGGAAAAGUGGAACUAAGUAUUUGCUGCGGACACACUUAAAUCUAUUUAAAAUUAAUUAAAUGAAAUAAAAACAUAUGUAAGUUUUAUCA